UACGAAGGGGGCUAGCGUUGUGCGGAAUUACUGGGCGUAAAGCGCACGUAGGCGGAUUUGUAAGUAGGGGGUGAAAUCCCCAGGCUCAACCUGGGAACUGCCUUCUAAACUGCAAGUCUGGAGAUCAGGAGAGGCGAGUGGAAUACCGAGUGUAGAGGUGAAAUUCGUAGAUAUUCGGUGGAACACCAGUGGCGAAGGCGACUCGCUGGACUGAUACUGACGCUGAGGUGCGAAAGCGUGGGGAGCAAACAGG
RNAcentral lists this ribosomal RNA (253 nucleotides) under uncultured bacterium. RNAcentral's name for it is "partial 16S ribosomal RNA". It matches the Rfam family "Bacterial small subunit ribosomal RNA", at positions 524 to 776 of the family's 1533-position model. The record is from RNAcentral.